AAAUAUUACUUAAAUAAAAACUAUAAAAGGAAAAUAUUAACAACUGACUGCUGGAAAUAUAUUUUUUCUUUGACAAAAAAAAUAUUAAAUAAAAAUUUUCCCAAUAAAUGUAAAUAGAACCCAAUUUGUCUUUAAUAGUUAGGAUAGGAGAUAAGGAAGUUGUGAAUUUGCAAUUAAGGUUCCUAACGAAAGGAGAAAAGGUUCAGUAGAUUGAGCUGUUUAGCUUUUCAAAAUCAUAUUAAAGAUAGAAAAUAGAAGAAAACAAAACAAAAUAAGCAAAAAGGACGAUGGAGAUGGGUUGGAAUGCCCAACUUUAUUGGGAUCCACCGCAUUAUGGUUCCUUUUUUUUUAUAUAUUUUGAAAAAAAAAA
This 370-nucleotide unclassified non-coding RNA is filed under the name Hevea brasiliensis (rubber tree). The record is from RNAcentral. Lineage: Eukaryota; Viridiplantae; Streptophyta; Magnoliopsida; Malpighiales; Euphorbiaceae.